Molecule: long non-coding RNA, 547 nt
Organism: Xiphophorus couchianus (Monterrey platyfish)
Lineage: Eukaryota; Metazoa; Chordata; Actinopteri; Cyprinodontiformes; Poeciliidae
Exons: 2
Source: RefSeq, a predicted model, not a curated record
CUAAAUAUUUAGGAUAAAGCUAAAUAUUUAGAUAAAGCCAAAUAUUUAGUUAGCAAACUAAUUACUAUGCUUGCUAACUGGCAUGUGAAUUUGUUCUAUACUGGAAAUUCACAUGUGAAUCUCGACUAUUGGCAUGUGAAUAUUAGCUUUAUAUUUAUCUCUGAAGUAAAUGGUAAAUGUUUAACUUUAAACUAAAUAUUUAGCUUUGUGUUUAAAGCCGGCUACUUAACUUUAAACUAAAUAGUUAGCUCACUAUUUUUAGUGUGAAGCUAAAUAUUUAGUUCUUAUGCUAAAUAUCUGCUGACUAAAGAUUUAGGUUGAAAUUCUGAUACUUAAAAAUAAAUGAAUAUCAUUGUGAAAAUAUGACUUUAAAAGAAUGAACCCCCAUUUUUCCCUUUCAUGACAGGCUAAAUAACCUAAAUUAUUGCUGCUAACGUUUGACUGUAACUUUACAAACGGUCCCCAUUGCCUAACUGGAAAAAUGAUCACAAACUACAUAAAUGACAACCACAAUAAAACGUGUGAAGUUCUCCCAAUGUUGUUGAAA